AUGCCCGCGUCACACUGUCCCGAUUUUUAUAUACGAUGGACACCCGAAAGCGAAAAUUGUAAGUUCGUACGAAGUUGGUCCCGAUCUCGUUAAAAUACCAAAAAAAGUGACCGAAGCAAGUACGAUGAAUAACGAUGUCUAUACGAUGGUGCCGAAAUUAUAUACGAUAGCAAAAGAUGGACAUACGAAGGUUAACCGAAGACGGGUAUUUAAGCUUCAUAUCUCAGCCGAAGCCUACACGAUGGAUCACGAAGGCUACACGAUGGCUUACGAAGGCUACACGAUGGAUUACGAUGAUGCGCGAUGGUCAUACGAUGUCUAAAAGACGUCGUGUACAGCUUACUUUUAUUUAUGAUACGAACAGAAUUUCGACAACAUAUCGUUUCUGUACAAGUCUGCCAUGCAUGGCUGGAAAUCGACCUGUUUGUCUAAUUCUUAUAAAACUUAGUUUAUUAUCCCCUCGCCUACUACAUGUAAGUUGCGUGUAGAUAAAAUUGUUAUGGACACUCUAGAACCAAAAUGCUCAAAACUG
Molecule: long non-coding RNA, 532 nt
Filed under: Mytilus galloprovincialis (Mediterranean mussel)
Lineage: Eukaryota; Metazoa; Mollusca; Bivalvia; Mytilida; Mytilidae
Source: RNAcentral